This 468-nucleotide ribosomal RNA is filed under the name uncultured bacterium. RNAcentral describes it as "partial 16S ribosomal RNA". It matches the Rfam family "Bacterial small subunit ribosomal RNA", at positions 28 to 507 of the family's 1533-position model. The record is from RNAcentral.
GACGAACGCUGGCGGCGUGCUUAACACAUGCCAGUCGAACGGAAAGGCCCUGCUUUUGUGGGGUGCUCGAGUGGCGAACGGGUGAGUAACACGUGAGUAACCUGCCCCUGACUUUGGGAUAACUUCAGGAAACUGGGGCUAAUACCGGAUAGGAGCUCCUGCUGCAUGGUGGGGGUUGGAAAGUUUCGGCGGUUGGGGAUGGACUCGCGGCUUAUCAGCUUGUUGGUGGGGUAGUGGCUUACCAAGGCUUUGACGGGUAGCCGGCCUGAGAGGGUGGCCGGCGACAUUGGGACUGAGAUACGGACCAGACUCCUACGGGAGGCAGCAGUGGGGAAUAUUGCACAAUGGGCGGAAGCGUGAUGCAGCAACGCCGCGUGCGGGAUGACGGCCUUCGGGUUGUAAACCGCUUUCGCCUGUGACGAAGCGUGAGUGACGGUAAUGGGUAAAGAAGCACCGGCUAACUACGUG